AUAGAUACCCGGGUAGUCCACGCCGUAAACGAUGAGUGCUAAGUGUUAGGGGGUUUCCACCCCCUUAGUGCUGCAGCUAACGCAUUAAGCACUCCGCCUGGGGAGUACGGUCGCAAGACUGAAACUCAAAGGAAUUGACGGGGGCCCGCACAAGCGGUGGAGCAUGUGGUUUAAUUCGAAGCAACGCGAAGAACCUUACCAGGUCUUGACAUCCCGCUGACCGCUAUGGAGACAUAGCCUUCCCUUCGGGGACAGCGGUGACAGGUGGUGCAUGGUUGUCGUCAGCUCGUGUCGUGAGAUGUUGGGUUAAGUCCCGCAACGAGCGCAACCCUUGUCCUUAGUUGCCAUCAUUCAGUUGGGCACUCUAAGGAGACUGCCGUACAAAUACGGAGGAAGGUGGGGAUGACGUCAAAUCAUCAUGCCCCUUAUGACCUGGGCUACACACGUGCUACAAUGGACGGUACAAACGGUCGCGAAGUCGCGAGACGGAGCCAAUCCGAAAAAACCGUUCUCAGUUCGGAUUGCAGGCUGCAACUCCG
Molecule: ribosomal RNA, 539 nt
Filed under: uncultured bacterium
Lineage: Bacteria
Description: bacterial SSU rRNA
Rfam family: Bacterial small subunit ribosomal RNA
Source: RNAcentral